This 253-nucleotide ribosomal RNA is filed under the name uncultured bacterium. RNAcentral's name for it is "partial 16S ribosomal RNA". It matches the Rfam family "Bacterial small subunit ribosomal RNA", at positions 524 to 776 of the family's 1533-position model. The record is from RNAcentral.
UACGGGGGGGGUAAGCGUUGUUCGGAAUUACUGGGCGUAAAGGGCUCGUAGGCGGCCAACUAAGUCGGACGUGAAAUCCCUCAGCUUAACUGGGGAACUGCGUCCGAUACUGGAUGGCUUGAAUCCGGGAGAGGGAUGCAGGAUUCCAGGUGUAGCGGUGAAAUGCGUAGAUAUCUGGAGGAAUACCGGUGGCGAAGGCGGCAUCCUGGACCGGCAUUGACGCUGAGGAGCGAAAGCCAGGGGAGCAAACGGG